This 468-nucleotide ribosomal RNA is filed under the name uncultured bacterium. Its description in RNAcentral is "partial 16S ribosomal RNA". It matches the Rfam family "Bacterial small subunit ribosomal RNA", at positions 28 to 507 of the family's 1533-position model. The record is from RNAcentral.
GACGAACGCUGGCGGCGUGCUUAACACAUGCAAGUCGAACGGAAAGGCCCUGCUUUUUUGGGGUGCUCGAGUGGCGAACGUGUGAGUAACACGUGAGUAACCUGCCCUUGACUUUGGGAUAACUUCAGGAAACUGGUGCUAAUACCUGAUAGGAGCUCCUGCUGCUUGGUGGGGUUUGGAAAGUUUCGGCGGUUGGGGAUGGACUCGCGGCUUAUCAGUUUGUUGGUGGGGUAGUGGCUUACCAAGGCUUUGACGGGUAGGCGGCAUGUGAGGGUGACCGGCGACAAUAGGACUGAGAGAGGGCGCAGAGGGGAACGGGAGGCAGCAGGGGGGAAUAUUGAACAAUGGGGGGAAGCGUGAGGAAGAAAAGCAGGGAGCGGGAUGACGGCCUUCGGGUUGGAAACCGCAGUAGGCUGAGACGAAGCGGGAGUGACGGUAAUGGGAAAAGAAGCACCGGCUAACUACGUG